This 330-nucleotide long non-coding RNA is filed under the name Numida meleagris (helmeted guineafowl). Its description in RNAcentral is "lncRNA (ENSNMEG00000018413.1)". The record is from RNAcentral. Lineage: Eukaryota; Metazoa; Chordata; Aves; Galliformes; Numididae.
UUUAAAUCUGGUAUUUAUUUUUCCCCCUAUUGCUAGAGAAAGUAAAAAAAAAAAAUGUACUAGCCUAUUUUAUUGACCUUUUUUCUACCCCAUCUAGCUUUUGGGCUCCUUGAAGCAAUAAUAAAAGUCGAGGCGUUUUACAGAGCAGUGGCGUCCCUUCACCUGGAGUACAAUACCUGCUGGUAUGAAAUGAUAUUUCCAUCAGAGAGAUGGGUAGCUUGCCCAGAUGCUGAGCUGUGCAUUUCUAUCAGGAAAGAGCCGAUGGUGAAAUAUGUGUUGAGAGGCUUCAUUGCUCCAGAUGCUGUUCAGAAAGCCUCCAGCAGAGUGUGA